This 69-nucleotide transfer RNA is filed under the name Escherichia coli 2-460-02_S1_C1. RNAcentral's name for it is "partial tRNA-Gly". It matches the Rfam family "tRNA". Rfam says of the family: Transfer RNA (tRNA) molecules are approximately 80 nucleotides in length. Their secondary structure includes four short double-helical elements and three loops (D, anti-codon, and T loops). Further hydrogen bonds mediate the characteristic L-shaped molecular structure. tRNAs have two regions of fundamental functional importance: the anti-codon, which is responsible for specific mRNA codon recognition, and the 3' end, to which the tRNAs corresponding amino acid is attached (by aminoacyl-tRNA synthetases). tRNAs cope with the degeneracy of the genetic code in two manners: having more than one tRNA (with a specific anti-codon) for a particular amino acid; and 'wobble' base-pairing, i.e. permitting non-standard base-pairing at the 3rd anti-codon position. The record is from RNAcentral. Lineage: Bacteria; Pseudomonadati; Pseudomonadota; Gammaproteobacteria; Enterobacterales; Enterobacteriaceae. RNAcentral also lists the same sequence under 5 other names.
GCGGGAAUAGCUCAGUUGGUAGAGCACGACCUUGCCAAGGUCGGGGUCGCGAGUUCGAGUCUCGUUUCC